This 890-nucleotide ribosomal RNA is filed under the name Bacillus subtilis group sp. RNAcentral describes it as "bacterial SSU rRNA". It matches the Rfam family "Bacterial small subunit ribosomal RNA", at positions 62 to 933 of the family's 1533-position model. The record is from RNAcentral. Lineage: Bacteria; Bacillati; Bacillota; Bacilli; Caryophanales; Bacillaceae.
UCGAGCGGACAGAUGGGAGCUUGCUCCCUGAUGUUAGCGGCGGACGGGUGAGUAACACGUGGGUAACCUGCCUGUAAGACUGGGAUAACUCCGGGAAACCGGGGCUAAUACCGGAUGCUUGUUUGAACCGCAUGGUUCAAACAUAAAAGGUGGCUUCGGCUACCACUUACAGAUGGACCCGCGGCGCAUUAGCUAGUUGGUGAGGUAAUGGCUCACCAAGGCAACGAUGCGUAGCCGACCUGAGAGGGUGAUCGGCCACACUGGGACUGAGACACGGCCCAGACUCCUACGGGAGGCAGCAGUAGGGAAUCUUCCGCAAUGGACGAAAGUCUGACGGAGCAACGCCGCGUGAGUGAUGAAGGUUUUCGGAUCGUAAAGCUCUGUUGUUAGGGAAGAACAAGUACCGUUCGAAUAGGGCGGUACCUUGACGGUACCUAACCAGAAAGCCACGGCUAACUACGUGCCAGCAGCCGCGGUAAUACGUAGGUGGCAAGCGUUGUCCGGAAUUAUUGGGCGUAAAGGGCUCGCAGGCGGUUUCUUAAGUCUGAUGUGAAAGCCCCCGGCUCAACCGGGGAGGGUCAUUGGAAACUGGGGAACUUGAGUGCAGAAGAGGAGAGUGGAAUUCCACGUGUAGCGGUGAAAUGCGUAGAGAUGUGGAGGAACACCAGUGGCGAAGGCGACUCUCUGGUCUGUAACUGACGCUGAGGAGCGAAAGCGUGGGGAGCGAACAGGAUUAGAUACCCUGGUAGUCCACGCCGUAAACGAUGAGUGCUAAGUGUUAGGGGGUUUCCGCCCCUUAGUGCUGCAGCUAACGCAUUAAGCACUCCGCCUGGGGAGUACGGUCGCAAGACUGAAACUCAAAGGAAUUGACGGGGGCCCGCACAAGCGGU